GCUGGUUGUGGUGGCACAUACCUGUAAUCCCAGUUACUUGGGAGGCUGAGGCAAGAGGAUUGCAACUUUGAGAGCAACCUCAGCAACUUAGUGAGAUCCUGUCUCAA
Molecule: small RNA, 107 nt
Filed under: Marmota monax (woodchuck)
Lineage: Eukaryota; Metazoa; Chordata; Mammalia; Rodentia; Sciuridae
Source: RNAcentral